RNAcentral lists this ribosomal RNA (375 nucleotides) under uncultured bacterium. RNAcentral's name for it is "bacterial SSU rRNA". It matches the Rfam family "Bacterial small subunit ribosomal RNA", at positions 521 to 895 of the family's 1533-position model. The record is from RNAcentral.
UAAUACAGAGGGUGCGAGCGUUAAUCGGAAUUACUGGGCGUAAAGCGUGCGUAGACGGUUAUUUAAGUCGGGUGUGAAAGCCCCGGGCUCAACCUGGGAAUUGCAUUCGAGACUGAAUAGCUAGGGUACGGUAGAGGGAAGCGGAAUUUCCGGUGUAGCGGUGAAAUGCGUAGAUAUCGGAAGGAACAUCAGUGGCGAAAGCGGCUUCCUGGACCAGUACCGACGUUCAGGCACGAAAGCGUGGGGAGCAAACAGGAUUAGAUACCCUGGUAGUCCACGCCAUAAACGAUGAGGACUAGACGUUGGAGGGGUAAGCCUUUCAGUGUCGUAGCUAACGCGCUAAGUCCUCCGCCUGGGGAGUACGGCCGCAAGGUU